AAUAAAUACAGUUUUACACUAUUUAUCUCCAACGUUUUGAUCGUUGGUCUUAUUUAAAAAAUUUUUAUGAUUAUUAUUUUUAUUAUUAUUAGAUGAUAAAACAUGAAUAGUACUUUAUGUGUGACUAAUUUUUUUAAAAAUUUUCAUAAAAUUUUUAAAUAAAACGGAUGGUCAAAUGUUGGACACGAAUUUUCAUGUCUGCAAUUAGU
This is a non-coding RNA of Oryza glaberrima (African rice), 209 nucleotides long. The record is from Rfam. NCBI's taxonomy places the organism in Eukaryota, Viridiplantae, Streptophyta, Magnoliopsida, Poales, Poaceae.